RNAcentral lists this ribosomal RNA (468 nucleotides) under uncultured bacterium. Its description in RNAcentral is "partial 16S ribosomal RNA". It matches the Rfam family "Bacterial small subunit ribosomal RNA", at positions 28 to 507 of the family's 1533-position model. The record is from RNAcentral.
GACGAACGCUGGCGGCGUGCUUAACACAUGCAAGUCGAACGGAAAGGCCCUGCUUUUGUGGGGUGCUCGAGUGGCGAACGGGUGAGUAACACGUGAGUAACCUGCCCUUGACUUUGGGAUAACUUCAGGAAACUGGGGCUAAUACCGGAUAGGAUCUCCUGCUGCAUGGUGGGGGUUGGAAAGUUUCGGCGGUUUGGGAUGGACUCGCGGCUUAUCAGCUUGUUGGUGGGGUAGUGGCUUACCAAGGCUUUGACGGGUAGCCGGCCUGAGGGGGUGACCGGCCACAUUGGGACUGAGAUACGGCCCAGACUCCUACGGGAGGCAGCGGUGGGGAAUAUUGCACAAUGGGCGGAAGCCUGAUGCAGCAACGCCGCGUGCGGGAUGACGGCCUUCGGGUUGUAAACCGCGUUCGACUGUGACGAAGCGUGAGUGACGGUAAUGAGUAAAGAAGCACCGGCUAACUACGUG